AGAGUUUGAUCAUGGCUCAGAACGAACGCUGGCGGCGUGGCUAACCCAUGCAAGUCGAGCGCGAACGUCUCCUUCGGGAGGCUACUAGCGCGGCGGAAGGGUGAGUAACGCAAGGGUAACGUGCCCUGGGCUGGAGGAUAGACCACCGAAAGGUGGCGUAAUACUCCAUAAGACCACGAGGAGGCAUCUUCACGCGGUCAAAGGUGGUGCUCCUUCGGGAGCAUUUACCGGCCUGGGAUCGGCCCUUGUUCCAUCAGCUUGUUGGUGAGGUAAGAGCUCACCAAGGCUCCGACGGAUAGCCGGACUGAGAGGUCGAUCGGCCACAUUGGGACUGAGACACUGCCCAGACUCCUACGGGAGGCUGCAGGGACGAAUAUUCCGCAAUGGGCGCAAGCCUGACGGAGCGACGCCGCGUGUGGGAAGAAGGCUUUCGGGUUGUAAACCACUGUCAGGGGUUACCAAGCAAUCCGGUGAAAACCGGUGCGUUGAGGCGCCCCAAAGGAAGCCACGGCUAACUUCGUGCCAGCAGCCGCGGUAAUACGAAGGUGGCAAGCGUUGUUCGGAAUCACUGGGCCUAAAGAGUACGUAGGCGGGCUGUUAAGCGUCUUGUGAAAUCCCUCGGCUCAACCGAGGAAUGGCUUGGCGAACUGGCAGCCUUGAGGCAGGUAGGGGCGUGUGGAACUCUUGGUGGAGCGGUGAAAUGCGUAGAUAUCAAGGGGAACGCCGGAGGCGAAAGCGACACGCUGGGCCUGUCCUGACGCUGAGGUACGAAAGCUAGGGGAGCGAACGGGAUUAGAUACCCCGGUAGUCCUAGCCGUAAACGAUGUCCACUAGGUUGAGGAUCUUUUGACGGACUCUCAGCCGAAGUCAAAGCGUUAAGUGGACCGCCUGGGGGAGUACGGUCGCAAGGCUAAAACUCAAAUGAAUUGACGG
This 933-nucleotide ribosomal RNA is filed under the name uncultured bacterium. RNAcentral describes it as "bacterial SSU rRNA". It matches the Rfam family "Bacterial small subunit ribosomal RNA", at positions 8 to 916 of the family's 1533-position model. The record is from RNAcentral.